GGUUACUGCUAUCGGUGUUCGCCUAAGCCAUGCGAGUCAUAUGUUCGUAAGAACAUGGCGUACUGCUCAGUAACACGUGGAUAACCUGCCCUUGGGUCCGGCAUAACCCCGGGAAACUGGGGAUAAUUCCGGAUAACGCACAUAUGCUGGAAUGCUUUAUGCGUAAAAUGGAUUCGUCUGCCCAAGGAUGGGUCUGCGGCCUAUCAGGUAGUAGUGGGUGUAAUGUACCUACUAGCCUACGACGGGUACGGGUUGUGAGAGCAAGAGCUCGGAGAUGGAUUCUGAGACAUGAAUCCAGGCCCUACGGGGCGCAGCAGGCGCGAAAACUUUACAAUGCGGGAAACCGUGAUAAGGGGACACCGAGUGCCAGCAUCCUAUGCUGGCUGUCCGGGUGUGUAAAAUACACCUGUUAGCAAGGGCCGGGCAAGACCGGUGCCAGCCGCCGCGGUAACACCGGCGGCCCGAGUGGUGAUCGUGAUUAUUGGGUCUAAAGGGUCCGUAGCCGGUUUGGUCAGUCCUCCGGGAAAUCUGACAGCUUAACUGUUAGGCUUUCGGAGGAUACUGCCAGACUUGGAACCGGGAGAGGUAAGAGGUACUACAGGGGUAGGAGUGAAAUCUUGUAAUCCCUGUGGGACCACCUGUGGCGAAGGCGUCCUACCAGAACGGGUUCGACGGUGAGGGACGAAAGCUGGGGGCACGAACCGGAUUAGAUACCCGGGUAGUCCCAGCCGUAAACGAUGCUCGCUAGGUGUCAGGCAUGGCGCGACCGUGUCUGGUGCCGCAGGGAAGCCGUGAAGCGAGCCACCUGGGAAGUACGGCCGCAAGGCUGAAACUUAA
This 837-nucleotide ribosomal RNA is filed under the name uncultured archaeon. RNAcentral's name for it is "bacterial SSU rRNA". It matches the Rfam family "Archaeal small subunit ribosomal RNA", at positions 21 to 859 of the family's 1478-position model. The record is from RNAcentral.